UGUGGGGAGACUGGGUGGAGAAACCAGAAACUUGGGAGGAGGGAAACAGGUUUCCUUUUUUAGGGCACCCGUGCUGCAGGCACAUGUGGUUGGGAGAAGAAAAAUGCCAGUUACUUUUGUUUGUCUUGAGACAAAGGGAGAAAGGGUUUUCUUUUUUCUGCCUGGAAAUAUAUGUGAAAUGCAUACCUGAAGUUGUACUGGGUGGGGACCGAAGUCGUUGGCAACCACGCUGUAAAGGGGCAAAUCAGAAGGGUCAUUGUAUGAGCAAUGGCUACUGAGAAUGGCUGCAUAAUAGGCGCAUUAUGGAAUGCACACCUGGCUCCUGCAAAGCCCGAGAGUGAGAAAUCGCUUUUAUAGAACCAUCGGGUGAGCAAAAGGAUGAAGGGCUUCCGCUGUGUCAGAACAAACUGGUGCACUAUACACAAUUCCAGGUUGAUCCUGAACAGAGUUCCCAUUCCAGUUCCUUCCCACUCCAAAGGACAGAUGGUGAUGGAGUGGCCUGGUGAUUUACUUGAAAUGAGUUGGUCCCAUGAGCUACAACUAGGAUACUGAAGAUACAGGAGAUCGAUGACGAAGGCCCAGGCAAUUGGAGUAAAGCCCGCUGGCUCUAGCAAUUGGUCCAAGAGUGAGCACCUGUUGAAAGAUGAGCCUUUCUUUUCCAGAGAUUCCCCAAACUGAAGGUUAGAGAAAGAGUCUCUCUCUUUUGGCAUCACUAAGCCUUCCCCAGGGAUUGUCUAUACUCUGGAGCCGCCUCUGGAAAUUUCCAUUCAAGAAGCCAUCUAAAGUUAUGGAGAAUGAGUGAUAACAAAAACGAAGCCAAGACUUAAGGCAGAGAAAUAGAAAGACAGUCCUAAUACCUCCAGUUCUGGAUCCAGGUGACUUUGAGGCCAACCCCACCCCUUCUUUCCCUUUAUCAAAAGUCACAAAAUUCCCCUUUUUGGAUAAAUUCUUUUGAGAUCAGUUUCUGUCACUGCAACUGAAUGCAUUCUGACCAAUACACCUCUAUGUCCAACAGGAUUGGUUAAGCAAACUAUAGUAUAUUCAUAAACUAAAACUAAUGUGGCCCUUAAAAUGAUUUUACCAAAGUAUACCUUUCAAUAAAAAUUAAAUGAAUGGAUGGCAUGCAAAGAUGAUCUGAUAUACUAAGUGAGAAAAAGCUAGCUCUAAAAGAAUAUUCAGUAUCAACUAAUUAUGUUAAAAAAUAGAUGGAUAAAUAGAGACAAUAUUUUAAUGGUAGCUUUUUUCCUAGGUAUUGGGAUGUGUGAUUUUUUAAAUCAUUUUCCAUAUUUUAUAAUUUUUACUUUUAUAAUAAGAAAAAUGAUACUAAAAACCAAGGCUUUGGUCCAAUCUUUUUACAGGUCUAUGUACAAAUUAAAACAUAAUCACCCACCAAUUCACUCUGAAUUUUACCCUGCUCCUUUAUUUCUAAACAAGUUUCCUGUACCAUAGUAACACAUCAUCCAUUUUCUUUUCCAAGCAUUAGGACUCUAAAAGAUGACAUUUAUAAGGAUGGUAAAUAGGCAGCACCUUCUACCAGCAUAGUUUAUGGCUUUUGGCUAGUGUAGCAAUGCACAAAAGAAAAAUUUUGAUCUAAAUGAAGUCACUCAGUAACUUUCUAAUUAUUUUUCUCCAUAGUAACACAUGUAAAGUAUGAGAAAUAUGUUUAUUCAAGUUUUUUUCCUUCUCUUUAAUAACUAUUUCAAAAAGCUUAAGUGUGUUUUAUACCUCCUUAAAAAUUUCACCCUGUCGAUUGGGUUCAUUUUAACACUGAAGUCUAGGGCUUUGCACCAAUAACCUGAGUCUAUUACUGCAUUCUUGAUGAAAAGCACUAAUAGCUUAAAAUGUUUCUUUAUUGAAUUUUCUUUUUCUCAUGAAAGUGACUCUGAAAGCUUUGGAAGGCAUUUCUAAAAUAAUGUCAUAUGAAAAGUCAGCCUUUUAUUAGACUUCAGACCACAGAAGAAUCCCAUGGACUUUUUUUCUAAUAUAAUUUAACCCCUUCAUUCAAGAACAAACUUAAGAGCAAGAGUGUGGGUUAAUAGGUAGAUUUAGAGGCUUCUGUGCCUCCAGUAAUCCUCCUUUCAUCAAAACAAUGGCUAUAAUUAAUAUUUAUGAUUUUGCCUUUCACCUCAAAGGACUUCACAAAUUGUUACCACAGGACUCCUGACACUCGCUGAUGAAGAACUCCUCAGCCCAGUAGAGAAAUUUAUAAUUACCUCAAGUUUACUCCAUAACGAUAUGGCUACAAAGGAGGGUUGGUGGUGACUUGAGCCAUUCAUCUCCCCAUCACCAAAAGAAUGACUCAGGAAUGGGAAAUCAAUCAACCAGCCCGUAAUGAUUUCCCAAAGCUUGCAUAGCAAAAUCAUGUUUCGUCAGUCUGUCCCACUGUGAUGUCAUACAGGCGUAGGCAAAUUAUAACCUGAGGGCCUCUGGCCUCAGUUUUAUACACUGCUUCUCUCCCACCACCUCCUCCUUAGCUCCCAGUGAGUGAUUUUUACAUUUUUAAAGCAUUGUUUUAAAAAAAGAAGAAUAUGUGACAAAGACUGUAUGUAGCCUGCAAAACCCAAAGUAUUCAUUAUCCAAUCCUUUAUAGAAAAAGUUCACAUUCCCUUAGAAGCUAAGGCACAGUGAAAACAGUCCAACUAUAAACUUUUGUAAUUCAAGCUAGAAACAUUGUCUACCCUUAAUGAGAGAGUCACUCAGGAACUCGGGCUUACUGUACACAUGAAUAUACUCUGUGGGAACACAUUUCAGGUAUCACUUAACUCUUCUCAGUCAGCACAUUGCUCAGGACUCAGGGGAUAGAGACCUAACAAACACCAAGUUCAUGUACCAACAUGCUUAUAUGAACACUGUAUACACAUAGGAUAUUCAUCAACAACUGGGAUCGUCAAGUACUGCUGCCGGACCAGAGCACCACUCAACAACAGCACUGAAAGGAAAGGAUAGAAAGGAACCGAAAGCCACCUGUCGGUGCACAUCUGGGGAGACCUACAGGCAAGACUGAGCCCAUUCAGGUCAUUAUCAGAUCAAACAGAACACCAGCAAAAUAGCAGCAUGACAGUCCAACUGUAUACUUUUUUGUCUAGCUGUGGACCAGUUUUAUCAGCCAUUUAUCUGAUGGUUAUUCGCAAGCCCUACUAUCCUUACCAACAGUGAAGAUGACAUUAUUAGCUUCCUAAUGUAUUAGUAACAAAUGUUUUUUGUGUGGGUCAUUGUGCUAAAUGUUCUACAUAUAUUAUAUCCUUUAAGUUUCCAAUAAGACAGACACUGCUAUACUCAUUUUACAAGGACUCUUAGUGGCACACCCCACAUAAUGGAAACCACCUGAAGUAAGCUGAGUGAGUCUCAUGGGAACAGCCCCUGAUUCAUGUCAAUCUUCCUGCCAAGUUCACUGAACAUAGAUCCCAUGUGACAGAUAUUUCCAUCAAGAAUCCAGAAUCCUAUUGGAAACUGAAACUGAUAAAAUUUAGAAAUUGUUCUCUGUUAUCCGUAUCUUUGGAAGGGACAGUUAAAAAUUACUCAACCACAAAAAUGUACCCCAUGUGGUGAAGGUGCUAUUUUCAUCAUGAUUUAAAGGCCCGUCCUGCUCUAACCCCUCAAUGGGGACCUGAGCAUCCCGCUAAAGGUGAAUGGAGGUCAAAAGAAACUGAAUUAAACACAGAACUAGGCCCAAACUAUUGAGGCCAUUCACACACUUUGAAAAAGGACCUAAGACCGCUAUUUUGUGGGUCUGAAUGAAUGCCCACUGACCUCCCAGUUUCUGUUGUUUCUCCUACACUGAAAUACAUCAACAUUCACACACAUUUGCCAUGCAUCUGAACAGCACUCGGCAUUUUGGAAGUGUGGUCCAUUUCCUAUUCUGGCAUAUUAAGUCAGUCUUCGUGUUUCUCUGUACAUGUGGCAUGCCGUCCAAAUGUGACACCUACUGUGGUGUUUGGCCUGUUUCGGCUCCUACUGGCUAGCUUUUCAGUUUCCAUGGGGAAUUCAUACAGAGAUAAGAGCCCCUUCAGUGACAUGGGAGAUAUUGGAGUUAGCUCCCAAAUUCCUAUUUAAUCCACAGUGUAGCUGUCCAAGGAAACUAAGAGGAAUCGCAUGAAUUCUUGACCUUAGAAUUAAAGCUGCAUGACUCAAGAAAAAACAAAUUUUAAAAGGGAAAGAGAUUUCCCCCACCCUCUUUCCUUGACAUGUGGCUGGUUCAAAGAAGAAUUCUAAAAGGGGCAAAGCUUGCUUUGACAGCCACAUAUCGUCCUUUCUACACCCUGUCCCACUUUCUGAUACUCGAGUGAGCCUCCUUACCCCAUCACCUUGAGGCUGCCCCGUCUCCGAGUGUCCCAUCCUCUCUCCCACUAUCCCAGAGCUCCUUAAGAAUAAGGACCCAGUCUUAGCCACCUUUGCGUCCCUAAAACCUUCCACAACCAUUGGUACACAACAAAGUUUACUUCCAUUUCUACUCUCCACAAUCAAAACCGCCACCCCUUUAUGCUAAUAGGUCCUUCACCUGGAUGGAAUGGAAGGUGAGGGGUUACACUUAUUAAGUCAUUUGGUACUAGAAAUGGGAUUGAUGCUUUAAAUUCAUUAUCUUAUUUAACCCUCUUUUUUCUUUUUACUUUUUAUUGUAGAAAAUUGUAAACAUCCACAAAAGUAGAGAUAAUGACAUAAGGAACCUACUAUACCCAAUGCCCAAUCUCUCACCAACCAUCAACCUCUGUCCAAUACUGUUUUAUCUGUAUCCCUUACCCUUCCCACUUGCCUUCACAGUAGGUAUUUAAAACAACGUCCUAGAUACUACAUCAUCUCGAAUAUAUUUAACUAUCUCCCUCACAAAUGCAGAACUGGUUCUUUCAUUCCAACUGCUAUGAAUUUCUAAAUAUAAAUAGUACCUCAGUUUUUCUUCACUCAUGAAUAAUUAAGAUAUAAAAUAAAUACAAUUAAAUUACAUUUAAUCACCUCACAAAUACGAAGGAUAAAGAAAGAUUUUGCAGGUAUGUAAACUACUUAAAUCUGAGUUAUUUCACAUUACUUUUCCCAUUACCACUCUAACUUCACAUUAGUUUUAAGGCUAUUAUAUAGAUACGUAUAUUUUUAAG
Non-coding RNA from Equus caballus (horse), 5087 nucleotides. Lineage: Eukaryota; Metazoa; Chordata; Mammalia; Perissodactyla; Equidae. The record is from RefSeq and is a predicted model, not a curated record.